This is a long non-coding RNA of Hipposideros armiger (great roundleaf bat), 929 nucleotides long. RefSeq lists it as uncharacterized. The transcript is spliced from 3 exons. The record is from RefSeq and is a predicted model, not a curated record. NCBI's taxonomy places the organism in Eukaryota, Metazoa, Chordata, Mammalia, Chiroptera, Hipposideridae.
UGAGAAAUGCAGACCUCUGGAGGAGCCAAUGACAUUCCGUUGACUGAAGUCCUCCUUAGAGCCUAGCAGCACUGAGUUCUCACAGAAACAGAAGGAAGACCUCCAAAGAGCAACCGAACACAAACUUUUCAUUGGAAGGCGUUUUCUUACUCUUUUGCAAACCAUUUAUGCAAAUGAGAAGUCACAGUUCUCUGGCUGCUGCCCAUCCAAGAGUGUCAAGUGUAAAAUGCAGCACCAGCAGUGACAAUUUUUGACAAGCUGAUUAGAGAACAUCACUUGGUUCAUCAGCGAGGCUGGACAUCCUCUAUGAAUUAGAAAUAUGUGUGCACCUAGUGCAUGGCAGAGGUAGGCAGCUUCAAGCCUUCCCCGAGAGAUGGUCAUGGAGUCACAAACCAUCUUGAGCCCUCUUUGCAAGGAGGCUAAGCUUGAAAGGAAGAGAGAGGAGGGGGUUGUUGGUGCAUACUCAGCUCCUUCUUCCAAACUCACGCAUGAGAUAAACCCUCUCCUUUCCAAGAGUGGACUGAAUGAAGGUGUGGAGACAAACUGGAAGACAACCUCCAAGGUCACAGAUAAAAUGUCAAAGACUGAGGCUUUGAACCCAGGCCACCCUAACUUCAGCAUCUAUGUACUUAACACUCCCUGCAAUACCCCCAACAUAUAUUUGUAGGGGCAGGUGAAUGAAGGGAUUAUGACUGAUUUCCAGAGUACUAAGAGUUACUUCUCAUUUGAAAUUAUCACUGGGUUAAACACGCCAUAAUUAAUAACCAUGUAGACUAAUUGGUGAGCUGUAAAUAUAUUCAGGGAAAGGGAUAUGAUGGAUUUCAGUUGCAUAUGCUAGAAGCACUAAUGCGAUUGAAAACAUGCCCUGUUGCUGUUAUAAAUGUGUGAUCCAGUAUUUCUUGAAUACGAAAUGUGGUGGGAUGCUCUGU